GAUGAACGCUGGCGGCGUGCCUAAUACAUGCAAGUCGAGCGAACAGACGAGGAGCUUGCUCCUCUGACGUUAGCGGCGGACGGGUGAGUAACACGUGGAUAACCUACCUAUAAGACUGGGAUAACUUCGGGAAACCGGAGCUAAUACCGUAUAACAUGUUGAACCGCAUGGUUCAACAGUGAAAGACGGUCUUGCUGUCACUUAUAGAUGGAUCCGCGCCGCAUUAGCUAGUUGGUAAGGUAACGGCUUACCAAGGCAACGAUGCGUAGCCGACCUGAGAGGGUGAUCGGCCACACUGGAACUUAGACACGGUCCAGACUCCUACGGGAGGCAGCAGUAGGGAAUCUUCCGCAAUGGGCGAAAGCCUGACGGAGCAACGCCGCGUGAGUGAAGAAGGUCUUCGGAUCGUAAAACUCUGUUAUUAGGGAAGAACAAAUGUGUAAGUAACUAUGCACGUCUUGACGGUACCUAAUCAGAAAGCCACGGCUAACUACGUG
Molecule: ribosomal RNA, 497 nt
Filed under: uncultured bacterium
Lineage: Bacteria
Description: partial 16S ribosomal RNA
Rfam family: Bacterial small subunit ribosomal RNA
Source: RNAcentral